GAAUGCGGAAGUAACGCGCGUCAUGGGGCAGCGCUGUGCCCCGUUCAUUUCAGUGUUUCUGAAGUACGCUGCCUGCAGGACUGAUUUUGAGCAGAGAGUGGAGCGAUAAGCAGGCUGCUGGAGCUUGCAGAAAUGUCUGUCCACCAACCAGGGCACUCUUCAAGUUCUGAACCAGAUGUGGGACAUCCGGCAUGAAAUAUAGCCUCCUGUCUGGUCUUGCAGGAUGUUAGAAUUAAAAAAAGUUUCUUUGAAGACAUCACAUUCAAGGGAAACUUACCUAUCCUCCUUGGAUAUAAAAUAUAAUAAAAGGUAUUGUUGAAUGCAA
Micropterus salmoides (largemouth bass) is the source of this 325-nucleotide long non-coding RNA. RefSeq lists it as uncharacterized. The transcript is spliced from 2 exons. The record is from RefSeq and is a predicted model, not a curated record. Lineage: Eukaryota; Metazoa; Chordata; Actinopteri; Centrarchiformes; Centrarchidae.